This 497-nucleotide ribosomal RNA is filed under the name uncultured bacterium. Its description in RNAcentral is "partial 16S ribosomal RNA". It matches the Rfam family "Bacterial small subunit ribosomal RNA", at positions 28 to 507 of the family's 1533-position model. The record is from RNAcentral.
GACGAACGCUGGCGGCGUGCCUAAUACAUGCCAGUUGAGCGCUGAAGGUUGGUACUUGUACCAACUGGAUGAGCAGCGCACGGGUGAGUAACGCGUGGGGAAUCUGCCUUUGAGCGGGGGACAACAUUUGGAAACGAAUGCUAAUACCGCAUAAAAACUUUAAACACAAGUUUUAAGUUUGAAAGAUGCAAUUGCAUCACUCAAAGAUGAUCCCGCGUUGUAUUAGCUAGUUGGUGAGGUAAAGGCUCACCAAGGCGAUGAUACAUAGCCGACCUGAGAGGGUGAGUGGCCACAUUGGGAGUGAGACACGGCCCAAAGGGCUACGGGAGGCAGCAGUAGGGAAUCGUCGGGAAGGGACGAAAGUCUGAGCGAGCAAGGCCGAGUGAGGGAAGAAGGAUGUCGGAUCGGAAAACUCGGUUGGUAGAGAAGAACGUUGGUGAGAGUGGAAAGCUCAUCAAGUGACGGUAACUACCCAGAAAGGGACGGCUAACUACGUG